UGGGGAAUAUUGCACAAUGGGCGCAAGCCUGAUGCAGCCAUGCCGCGUGUAUGAAGAAGGCCUUCGGGUUGUAAAGUACUUUCAGCGGGGAGGAAGGGAGUAAAGUUAAUACCUUUGCUCAUUGACGUUACCCGCAGAAGAAGCACCGGCUAACUCCGUGCCAGCAGCCGCGGUAAUACGGAGGGUGCAAGCGUUAAUCGGAAUUACUGGGCGUAAAGCGCACGCAGGCGGUUUGUUAAGUCAGAUGUGAAAUCCCCGGGCUCAACCUGGGAACUGCAUCUGAUACUGGCAAGCUUGAGUCUCGUAGAGGGGGGUAGAAUUCCAGGUGUAGCGGUGAAAUGCGUAGAGAUCUGGAGGAACACCGAUGGCGAAGGCAGGUCACUGGGCCAUUACUGACGCUGAGGAGCGAAAGCAUGGGUAGCGAACAGG
This 429-nucleotide ribosomal RNA is filed under the name Chloroflexota bacterium. Its description in RNAcentral is "Chloroflexi bacterium partial 16S ribosomal RNA". It matches the Rfam family "Bacterial small subunit ribosomal RNA", at positions 355 to 776 of the family's 1533-position model. The record is from RNAcentral. Lineage: Bacteria; Bacillati; Chloroflexota.